ACGCGCGGAACCUUACCAGGUCUUGACAUCCUUCGCUACUUCUAGAGAUAGAAGGUUCCCCUUCGGGGGACGAAGUGACAGGUGGUGCAUGGUUGUCGUCAGCUCGUGUCGUGAGAUGUUGGGUUAAGUCCCGCAACGAGCGCAACCCUUGAUCUUAGUUGCCAGCAUUCAGUUGGGCACUCUAAGGUGACUGCCGGUGACAAACCGGAGGAAGGUGGGGAUGACGUCAAAUCAUCAUGCCCCUUAUGACCUGGGCUACACACGUGCUACAAUGGAUGGUACAAAGGGCUGCAAGACCGCGAGGUUUAGCCAAUCCCAUAAAACCAUUCUCAGUUCGGAUUGCAGGCUGCAACUCGCCUGCAUGAAGCUGGAAUCGCUAGUAAUCGCGGAUCAGCAUGCCGCGGUGAAUACGUUCCCGGGCCUUGCACACACCGCCCGU
Molecule: ribosomal RNA, 439 nt
Filed under: uncultured bacterium
Lineage: Bacteria
Description: bacterial SSU rRNA
Rfam family: Bacterial small subunit ribosomal RNA
Source: RNAcentral